GAGCGGUUGACUUGGCUCACUUGUAUAGGGAGAUUAAUGUUGCAUUGUUUAAGACCAAGCACCUCGUUGAAUACGCGAUCCUGCUUUAAGUAUGACAAGGAACUUUUUAUUUGAUUAACCGUUAAACAUGUUUUUUCAUUGUGUUGUAUAUUGAUUGAUAUAUGUUGAUGUUGAUGCAUGUUUGAAAAUUACAACACUUUGAGGGAGUCGGGGCAAAGAUUAUCACGAUGCUUACAUGGAGGAUCGCAAUCACAUACUAUGUUGUUUGUACAAAUGAAGGGUCUACUUAGGUUAACUCGCAUCGUAUCUAAUGACUGCUUCUUCUACCCAUAACAGGAGCAUCACCAAACACACCCACUCAAGAACAUAAGUGUCUACUUUGGCCGACUAAAAUACAAACCUCUCAUGGUCAGUUAUUUUUUGGAUUGCGUGCUCCACCAAUUUGAAUAUGUGUAAAGCAUUCCUAAAUAUCCACAUCAGUUUUCUUCUCCCUUUAUGACUCAAAUGAAUGUAUCUCAGUACUACACAUAGUUUCUUGAUUGUGUGCAAUCAGCCCAAAACUCGGGCCAUGUUGCCUUGACUGGUAUAAAGACGGUGUUUGGAUAUUGAGAUGGUAUUUUAACAUUUCACAUCCAUACGCAAUACCAUACCAAAAGUAGAGGUUCUGAGACCACAUGAGCAGGCCCUCGAUGAUAUUGAUGUUGAGGAGCCGGGGGACAUGUAAUAACUAGACAUGAGCACACGAUUAUGUCGCAUCAAUGACCAUGUCAUAAGGAUAAUGGUUGAUGGUCAAGUGGAGCGGGGAACUCCGACAUGGCUGAGUUGAAGAAGAUUUUGUAUGAGGUAUGCAGAGGCUUGGUUUAUCGUCGAAGGCGGAUGGGGGUUGGGCAUGCUACCUAGUAGUGUUGUUUAUGUGUUGUAACAUUUGGGAUAAUUUGUGUUUUUCAAUUUAUGGUUGGUAUUGAUCAUGUAACAUUUAAAUGUUGGUGCUAAUUCCUAAAAGAAAAGAAUACUGG
This 1016-nucleotide long non-coding RNA is filed under the name Medicago truncatula (barrel medic). RNAcentral describes it as "long non-coding RNA (MTRU_LNC008209)". The record is from RNAcentral. Lineage: Eukaryota; Viridiplantae; Streptophyta; Magnoliopsida; Fabales; Fabaceae.